AUUGAACGCUGGCGGCAUGCCUUACACAUGCAAGUCGAACGGCAGCACGGGAGCUUGCUCCUGGUGGCGAGUGGCGAACGGGUGAGUAAUACAUCGGAACGUACCCUGAAGUGGGGGAUAACGUAGCGAAAGUUACGCUAAUACCGCAUAUUCUGUGAGCAGGAAAGAGGGGGAUCGCAAGACCUCUUGCUUUAGGAGCGGCCGAUGUCGGAUUAGCUAGUUGGUGAGGUAAAGGCUCACCAAGGCGACGAUCCGUAGCGGGUCUGAGAGGAUGAUCCGCCACACUGGGACUGAGACACGGCCCAGACUCCUACGGGAGGCAGCAGUGGGGAAUUUUGGACAAUGGGCGCAAGCCUGAUCCAGCCAUGCCGCGUGAGUGAAGAAGGCCUUCGGUUGUAAGCUCUUCGGUGGGGAAGAAAUUAGCACAGGAUAA
This 433-nucleotide ribosomal RNA is filed under the name uncultured bacterium. RNAcentral's name for it is "bacterial SSU rRNA". It matches the Rfam family "Bacterial small subunit ribosomal RNA", at positions 30 to 463 of the family's 1533-position model. The record is from RNAcentral.